UGGUAGCUUGAUGGGGAUAGCAUUGAAUCUAUAAAUUACUUUAGGCAGUAUGGCCAUAUUCACAAUAUUGAUUAUUUCUACCCAUGAGGAUGGGAUGUUUUUCCAUUUGUGUGCCCUCUUAUUUCCUUGAGCAGUGUGGUUUGUAGUUCUCCUUGAAGAGGUCCUGCACAUCCCUGUGCAUUGUAUUCCUAGGUACUUUAUUCUCUUUGUACCAAUUGUGAAUGGGAAUUCACUCAUGAUUUGGCUCUCUAUUAUUGGUAUAUAGGAAUGCUUGUGAUUUUUGCACAUUUAUUUUGUAUCCUGAGACUUUGCUGAAGUUGCUUAUCAGCUUAAGGAGAUUUGGGGCUAAGACAAUGGGGUUUUCUAAAUAUACAAUCAUGUCAUCUGCAAAGAGAGACAAGUUGACUUCCUCUCUUCCUAUUUUAAUACCCUUUAUUUCUUUCUCCUGCCUGAUUGCCCCGGCCAGAACUUCCCAUACUAUGUUGAAUAGGAGUGGUGAGAGAUGGCAUCCUUGUGCUGUGCCAGUUUUCAAAGGGAAUGCUUCCAGUUUUUGCCCAUUCACUGUGAUAUUGACUGUGGGUUUGUCAUAAAGAGCUCUUAUUAUUUUGAGAUACAUUCCAUCAAUACCUAGUUUAUUGAGAGUUUCUAGCAUGAAGGAGUGUUGAAUUUUAUCAAAGGCUUUUUUCUGCAUCUAUUGAGAUAAUCAUGUGGUUUUUGUCAUUAGUUCUGUUUAUGUGAUGGAUUAUGUUUAUUGAUUUGCAUAUGUUGAACCAGCCUUGCAUCCCAGGGAUGAAGCCAACUUGAUCAUGGUGGAUACGCUUUUUGAUGUGCUGCUGGAUUUGGUUUGCCAGUAUUUUAUUGAGGAUUUUCACAUCAAUGUUCAUCAGGGACAUUGGCCUGAAAUUUUCUUUUUUUGUUGUGUCUCUGCCAACUUUUGGUAUCAGGAUGAUGCUGGCCUCACAAAAUGAGUUAAGGAGGAGUCCCUCCUUUUCUAUUGUUUGGAAUAGUUUCAGAAGGAAUGGUACCAUCUCCUCUUUGUACCUCUGGUGAAUUUGGCUGUGAAUCUGUCUGGUCCUGAACUUUUUUUGGUUGGUAAGCUAUUAAUUACUGCCUCCAUUUCAGAACUUGUUAUUGGUGUAUUCAGGGGUUUGACUUCUUCCUGGUUUAGACUUGGGAGGGUGUAUGUGUCUAGGAAUUCAUCCAUUUCUUCUAGGUUUUCUAGUUUAUUUGUGUAGAGGUGUUCAUAGUAUUCUCUGAUGGUUGUUUGUAUUUCAGUGGGAUCAGUGGUGAUAUCCCCUUUAUCAUUUUUUAUUGCAUCUAUUUGAUUCUUCUCUCUUCUUUUUUAUUAGUCUGGCUAGUGGUCUAUCUAUUUUGUUGGUCUUGUUAAAAAACCAUCUCCUGGAUUCAUUGUUUUUUUGAAGCAUUUUUUUGUAUGUCUGUCUCCUUCAGUUCUGCUCUGAUCUUAGUUAUUUCUUGUCUUCUGCUAGCUUUUGAAUUUGUUUGCUCUUGCUUCUCUUGUUCUUUUAAUUGUGACGUUAGGGUGUCAAUUUUAGAUCUUUCCUGCUUUCUCUUGUGGGCAUUUAGUGCUAUAAAUUUCCCUCUAUACACUGCUUUAUCUGUGUCCCAGAGAUUCUGGUAUGUUGUGUCUUUGUUCUCGUUGGUUUCAAAGAAGAUCUUUAUUUCUGCCUUAAUUUUGUUAUUUACCCAGUAGUCAUUCAGGAGCAGGUUUUUCAGUUUCCAUGUAGUUGUGUGGUUUUGAGUGAGUUUCUUAAUCCUGAGUUCUAAUUUUAUUGCACUGUGGUCUGAGAGACAGUUUGUUAUGAUUUCCAUUCUUUUGCAUUUGCUGAGGAGUGUUUUACUUCCAAUUAUGUGGUCAAUUUUAGAAUAAGUGUGAUGUGGUGCUGAGAAGAAUGUAUAUUCUGUUGAUUUGGGGUGGAGAAUUCUGUGGAUGUCUAUUAGGUCUGCUCAGUCCAGAGCUGAGUUCAAGUCCUGAAUUUCCUUGUUAAUUUUCUGUCUCGUUGAUCUGUCUAAUAUUGACAGUGGGGUGUUAAAUUCUCCCAGGAUUAUUGUGUGGGAGUCUAAGUCUCUUUGGAGGUCUCUAAGAACUUGCUUUAUGAAUCUGGGUGCUCCUGUAUUGGGUGCAUAUAUAUUUAGGAUAGUUAGCUCUUCUUGUUGAAUUGAUCCCUUUACCAUUAUGUGAUGGCCUUCUUUGUCUCUUUUAAUCUUUGUUGGUUUAAAGUCUGUUUUAUCAGAGACUAGGAUUGCAACCUCUGUUUUUUUUUUUUUUUUUUUUUUUUUUUUUUUUUUUUUUUUUUUUGCUUUCCAUUUGCUUGGUAGAUCUUCCUGCAUCCCUUUAUUUUGAGCCUAUAUGCAUCUUUGAACAUAAGAUGGGUCUCCUGAAUACAGCACACGGAUGGGUCUUGACUCUUUAUCCAAUUUGCCAGUCUGCGUCUUUUAAUUGGGGCAUUUAGCCCAUUUACAUUUAAGGUUAAUAUUGUUAUCUGUGAAUUUGAUCCUGUCAUUAUGAUGCUAGCUGGUUACUUUGUCCAUUAGUUGAUUUAGUUUCUUCAUAGUGUCAAUGGUCUUUACCAUUUGGUGUGUCUUUGCAGUUGUUGGUACCAUUUGUUCCCUUCCAUGUUUAGUGCUUCCUUCAGGAGCUCUUGGAAGGCAGGCCUGGAGGUGACAAAAUCUCUCAGCAUUUACUUGUCUGUAAAGGAUUUUAUUUCUCCUUCACUUAUGAAGCUUAGUUUGGCUGGAUAUGAAAUUCUGGAUUGAAAAUUCUUUUCUUUAAGAAUGUUGAAUAUUGGCCCCCAUUCUCUUUUGGCUUGUAGGGUUUCUGCAGAGAGAUCUAUUGUUAGUCUGAUGGGCUUACCUUUGUGGGUAACCCAACCUUUCUGUCUGCCCUUAACAUUUUUUCCUUCAUUUCAACCUUGGUGAAUCUGACAAUUAUGUGUCUUGGGCUUGCUCUUCUCAAGGAGCAUCUUUGUGGUGUUCUCUGUAUUUCCUGAAUUUGAACGUUGGCCUGUCUUUCUAGGUUGGGGAGGUUCUCCUGGAUAAUAUCCUGAAGAGUGUUUUCCAAUUUGGUUCCAUUCUCCCCAUCACUUUCAUGUACACCAAUCAAAUGUAGGUUUGAUCUUUUCACAUAGUCCCAUAUUUCUUGAAAGCUUUGUUUGUUCCUUUUCAUUCUUUUUUCUCUAAUCUUGUCUUCACUCUUUAUUUCAUUAAGUUGAUCUUCAAUCUCUGAUAUCCUUUCUUCCGCUUGAUCAAUUCGGCCAUUGAUACUUGUGUAUGCUUCAUGAAGUUCUCAUGCUAUGGUUUUCAGCUCCAUCAGGUCAUUUAUUUUCUUCUCUAAGCUGGUUAUUCUAGUUAGCAAUUUUUCUAAACAUUUUUCCACGUUCUUAGCUUCCUUGCUUUGGGUUAGAACAUGCUUCUUUAGCUCAGAGGAGUUUGUUAUUACCCACCUUCUGAAGCCUAUUUCUGUCAAUCCAUCAAACUCAUUCUCCAUCCAGUUUUGUUUCCUUGCUGGACAGGAGUUGUGAUCCUUUGGAGGAGAAGAGGCAUUUCAUUUUUGGAAUUUUCAGCCUUUUUGCGCUGAACCCGUCUUCAUGGAUUUAUCUACCUUUGGUGUUUGAUGUUGGUGACCUUCGGAUGGGGUUUCUGAGUGGACUUUUUUUUAUUGAUGUUGAUGCUAUUCCUUUCUGUUUGUUAGUUCUUCUAACAGUCAGGCCCAUCUGCUGCAGGUCUGCUGGAGUUUGCUGGAGGUCCACUCCAGACCCUAUUUGCCUUGGUAUCAGCAGCAGAGGCUGCAGAAUAGCAAAUAUUGCUGCCUGUUUUUUCCUCUAGAAGCUUCAUCCCAGAGGGGCACCCACCAGAUGCCAGCUGGAGCUCACCUGUAUGAUGUGUCUGUCAGCCUCUGCUAGAAGGUGUCUCCCAGUCAGGAGACACGGGGGGUCAGGGACCCACUUAAGGAGGCAGUCUGACCCUUAGCAGAGCUCGAGUGCUGUGCUGGGAGAUCCACUGCACAGAGCUGGCAGGCAGGAACAUUUAAGUCUGCUGAAGCUGCGCCAACAGUCACCUCUUCCCGCAGGUGCUCUGUCCCAAGGAGAUGGGAGUUUUAUCUAUAAGCCUGUGACUGGAGCUGCUGUCUUUCUUUCAGGGAUGACCUGCCCAGAGAGAGGGAAGCUAGAGAGGCAGUCUGGCUACAGCGGUUUUGUGGUGCUGUGGUGUGCUCCUUUCAGUUCGAACUUCCUGGCUGCUUUGUUUACACUGUGAGGGGAAAACUGCCUACUCAAGCCUUAGUAAUGGUGGACGCCCCUCCCUCCAUCAAGCUCGAGCAUCCCAAGUCGACUUCAGACUGUUAUGCUGUCAGCGAGAAUUUCAAGCCAGUGGAUCUUAGCUUGCUGGGCUCCGUGGGGGUGGGAUCUGCUGAGCUAGACCACUCAGCUCCCUGGCUUCAGCACCCCUUUCCAGGGCAGUGAAUGGUUCUGUCUCACUGGCAUUCCAGGCGCCACUGGGGUAUGAAAAAAAAACUCUUGCAGCUAAGCUCAGUGUCUGCCCAAACGGCCGCCCAGUUUUGUGCUUGAAACCCAGGUCCCUGGUGGCAUGGGCACCCGAGAGAAUCUCCUGGUCUGUGGGUUGUGAAGACCACAGGAAAAGUUGCCACCAGAAGCCCCAUCCAGACACCAUGGAGAAGACGGAGCAUCAUAUGCAGACCCUGAACUUUGUGCUGCUGUUGCUGCUGCUGCAGCUGCAUUGACCUCAUGAGUUUUGGGGUUGCCUGUCCGGGUCUUGGGUUUGCCUCCCUGGGGAAAGUGUAAGUGUGUUCUGUGUAAGAGAGGAAGAACAGAUCAUUUGUGACCAGAAGGAAAGACUGUGGAGGACACUGGUUAGCUAGUCUCCAAAAACCACUUCCUUUUUCUCCCAGGCCCACUGCUACACUAUGCUUCCCAGGCUUCUUUACAGCUGCCAUAAUAUGUGUCUCUGCUCUGACCAAUGAAAUGUGGGCACCAGGCCUGGUACAUUAAGCCUCUGACUCAUGACCUUCUGUGCCCUCUCUUCCAAUGGCUACACUGGAGAUGACUAGGACAAUCUUAGGAGUCAGUGUGAAGAUGGUUGAUCCAAAGAUGGAGAAAUCUGGGUCCCUGAAAACCUGAGUCCCUGAGGGUGGAGAAAGGCCACCCUCUAGAAGCAACUGCAUUUGACUACUAACUGAGCAAAAAAUAAAUCAGCUUUAACCAUAUUAAACCCCUGAGAUUUGGGAGUUUAUUGCUAGGUUACCCUAAUCUAUAUACAAGCAGAAUGAAAAGCACGGGCAAAGACAGGAAGAUUGGAAUUCAUGACAUAGCCUGACGAGAGUGAGGACUUCUCUAGACAUGAGGGACAGAGUGACAGAAGAUGAGCUUGAAGGAUUCCUUUGGGAAAAUUCCUGCAGGUCUUGAAUGCCAUGCAAAGAUUUGGACUUUAUUCUACAGAAAAUGGGGACCACUUAAAAAAAGUGUUUUUUCUUCUAUUUAAAACUGCUAUAGUAAAUGCUGCCAGUAAUCUGCUCUUCUAAAGUAACUAAAAAUCCAAACUUUCACAUAUUAUUGCCCCCCCAAAAUUGAAAAUGUGAAAAAUGUAAUCACCAGGCUGACAACAGCUUUUGCAGUCUGUUAAAGCUGCAACUCGUAUCAAAUGAGUCCUGCCAAAUUCAUUGAGAAAUCAGUAACUAUCAGAGAAAAACUCCCAACAUGUAAUAUCUGCCUCUUCAUGAAACUGUGUGUGUGUGUGUGUGUGUGUGUGUGUGUGUGUGCAUGUGUAUAUCAGAGAGAUAUAUAUUUUUUCAGGUAAUAAAUGGUAUUCAUGCAACAAAACAAAAUCUGAAAUGGGGCUUCAAUUAAGGCCACAUUUACCAAACUUGUUCUGUGUGACAGGUGUUCUGAUAGGUGCCUAUGAUAGAAAAAUAAAUGAUCAACCAGGACUUCAAAUCACUCCCAGAUUAAUGCAAGAGGUAGGCACAUAAACAGGUUAACCAUAAGGGCACAUGCUACUAUAAAAAUAGGACUCACUAGAUCUAUGGAGGUUAGGAGAGAAUCCAAGAUGACUGAACUUUCUUAACCUGAUCCUGAAGAUCAUUCUUGAUCGGAUCCAACCUACCUUUGCAGGCUGAAAUUCCAUUACUUUUCUUCACACGAUUUCUUGCUCUUAGACCUAUCCUGCACUUUUGCACUUCCAUGCUUUGUCCUCUGCCUCGAAUUCUCUCCCUGACCUAUCACUAACCCCUGUUUACAGUGCCACUAAGAUUCCACUCAGGAAAUCUUCCCUGGUUCCAGUGGGAUGUAUCUUUUCCCUUCUUUAGAGUCUCUUCUUUUCUCUGUGUCCUGAGGAAGUUACCACUUUCUGCUUUGCAUCAUAGUUAUUUUCUGACUUGCUGGUCUUGUCUGAUCUCUACACUAAACCAUAAGCUCCCUGAAGACCAGGAGUGUUUCUAUUCCUUUCUUAUACUUCUGGUAUCAAGUAUAGCAAUUUGUAGGUACAUGGUGGAUGUUCAGUAAGUAUUUUCUGAAUGUCGGAAUGUAAAACUCAAAAGCCACUGGAGACACUGAAUCUACACACAACACUGCAACCCUCUCCUUGGCCAAGAGCUUCAUUGUUGGGUGAUAUAUGAUGUUUUCCUGGGAAAGGAAGGAGGGCAAUUUUGUAAGAGAAUUAAGUGAGGGUGCACAAGGAAAGUAAAAAUAGUGCUACAUUCCUGGUUCCAAAUAGUGUGUAGUUGUAUAACAAAAAUUAAAACUGUCCAAUAAGCCAAUAUCUUAGCUUAUUGAUUAAAAGAGAUUGAAAGCUCCAAAUCUUCUUUAUUGCAAAACAAUCUUUUAUAAAAGAAUCUCUAUUAACAUCAUGUCAGCAUUCUCUUACAAAAUCCAGCAAGGGGAAAAUGGGGAGUUGCCUCCCUUUCUAAUAUCAACACCAUUAAUAAACAGUAUUAACAUUCGGGCAGCUGAAUGGGGAAGAAAUAUUGACUAUCUGUAAUGUUCCCACAUUGGUGCUUUAAGAGUUCUGGAAGCUAAAACAUAGACAAAUCAGCAUUACUCAGUAGAGAAGGGCCAAAGCCAAAAGUAGAAAAGAUCAAUGUUUAUAAAAUAUUGAAGUAAACCAAAUUUGUUUACUAAGAUCUGGAAUAUAAUAAAGAAGGAGAAAUACAUUUGACAUUUAAAUGAGGACAAAUUUAGGGAAAAUAAAAAUACGUACAAAUUUUGUCUCAUUUGGGUAAACUUUAGGUUUUAGUUAACUAAGACAAGAGCAAACCAGAAUGAAAAGAUAAAUAAAUCCAUAAUGUCUCCAUAAAAAUUUAUUGAAAGUAGACUUUUGGGGGAGUGAUCCUGAAUCAGUUAGGUUCUAGGGCCUAGAGGCCACUGCAAUUAUUACAAGACCUGGAAAUACAUACUCACAUCGAGCCUUGUCUAUGGAUUGUACACAUGAUAUGCCUAACUCAUAUGUUCUACCAGUUGACAUGAACACAUAGAUACUUUACUGAUGAGUAACAGAAUGUCAGCAGGUUAGGGAAGCCAGGCAGGCUAAUCUCCCAGGGACACACUCUGUGGUAGAAGCUGUCAGAGGGAGGGAGGGGCCUUACUUUCUGGGGGGGCACAUAAUCAAUGACAGGGGUCACGGUAGGAGCAUGGGCUUUGAAAGGCCCUGAGUAGAAGAGAGAGGGGUAGAGCCAGUAAGACAGCCUAAGGCUGUAUGGAAAGCAAUGGAACCUCUCAGGGCUUCAGGAAAAUUUCCACAAUCAUAAAAUUCUGUAUAUGGUUAAAUUUUUUGUGGAAAAUGGUUAAAAGGCUGAGCUUCUGGAUUUGACACAGGGCUCCUCCCAGACAGAAAAAAAAAAGUGGGAAUAAAGCAAAAUAUAAGGAAUUAGAGGGGGAAACUCAAAGAAAAACUAACAGCACUUUGCAUGCUACAGCAUUAUAAGGCUCUGGAAAUGGAGUUCCAGCCAAAUUUCACCUGAGGUGAAUGGGGACCUUGAGUAAUACUUUAGUUUCUCUGUUGUUGUUGCUUUUGUUUUUGAGACAGGGUCUCCCUCUGUCACCAAGGCUGGAGUGCAGUGAUGUAAUCUCAGUUCACUGCAGCCUCAACCUCCCAGGGUCAAGCAAUCCUCCAGCCUCUCAGCCUCUCAAGUAGAUAAGACUACUGGCAUGUGUCACAACUGGCUAAUUUUUGUAUUUUUUGUAGAGAUGGGGUCUCACUAUAUUGCCUAGGCUGGUGUCAAACUCCUGGACCCAAGGGGUCCACCCACCUCGGCCUCCCAAAGUGCUGGGAUUAUAGGUGUGAGCUACCAAGCCCAGCUGUUGUUUAAGAGACAUGAUCUCACUCUGUGGAGAUCCUUCUGCCUCAGCCUCUUGAGUCGCUGGGACUACAGACGCAUGCCACCACACCUGGCUAAUUAUUUUUUUAAUUUUUGUAGAGAUAGGGUCUUGCUAUGUUGCCCAGGCUGGUCUUAAGCUCCUGGCCUCAAGCAAUCCUCCCACCUCAGCCCACCUAGUGGCUGGGAUUACAGGCAUGAACCACAGCACUCAGCCUUAGUUUCUUAAAUAAAUUCACUUUAAAAUGUUCCUGAAAUCUUGGAAGCUUUUUUCCACUAUUUGUUUUCAGUUGAUGGAAUAAUUUUUCAGUUGAUUCCAUUUCAGUUGAUGGAAUAAUUUUUAAUGGUUUACAUUUUAAAACAUUUUCAUAUUAUAAGCAUUAAGAACCAGCCGGGCACACUGACUCACACCUGUAAUCCCAGCACUUUGGGAAGCCAAGGCGGGUGGAUCACCUGAGGUCAGGAGUUUGAGAUCAGCCUGGCCAACAUAGCAAAUCCCCUUCUCUACUAAAAAUACAAAAAAUUAGCUGGGUGUGGUGGCAGGUGCCUGUAAUCCCAGCUACUUGGGAGGGUGAGACAGGAGAAUUGCUUGAGCCUGGGAGGCAGAGGUUGCAUUGAGCCAAGAUCACGCCAUUGCACUCCAGCCUGGGUGACAGAGCGAGAAUCUGAAAAAAAAAAAAAAAGUUAAGAGCCAUUAUUUUGAGAGUAUUAGCAUAUUAUGGUUGAUGUCAAGAAUACAAAAUUGUUAGCCUCAUCAGGGAAGGCUGAGCUGAGUCCCCUGCAGGCCAUGGUCUUUAAGGAGAGCAUCCAUCUACUACAUCCCGACCCCACGUGCUAUUGAGUGAAUAGAAUGCUGACAACAAGGAAGGCCCAGAAUGGGUGUAAAUGGUCACACCUUUCAUCAAAAUUAAUGCUUUCCUUUCCUUGCUGUACCUAAUUUAAUCCCCAAAC
This 9292-nucleotide long non-coding RNA is filed under the name Homo sapiens (human). Its description in RNAcentral is "HSALNT0009253". Lineage: Eukaryota; Metazoa; Chordata; Mammalia; Primates; Hominidae. The record is from RNAcentral.